Molecule: ribosomal RNA, 2229 nt
Filed under: hot springs metagenome
Description: bacterial LSU rRNA
Rfam family: Bacterial large subunit ribosomal RNA
Source: RNAcentral
AGUGCGAUCGGUGGAUGCCUUGGCACCAAGAGCCGAUGAAGGACGUUGUGACCUGCGAUAAGCCCUGGGGAGUUGGUGAGCGAGCUGUGAUCCGGGGGUGUCCGAAUGGGGAAACCUGGAAUGUCCGGAGUAGUGUCCGGUGGCCCUGCCCUGAAUGUAUAGGGGUGUGGGUGGUAACGCGGGGAAGUGAAACAUCUUAGUACCCGUAGGAAGAGAAAACAAGUGUGAUUCCGUGAGUAGUGGCGAGCGAAAGCGGAGGAGGCUAAACCGUGUGUGUGUUCAAGCCGGCAGGUGUUGCAUGUGCGGGGUUGUGGGGGCCUUGUGGUUCUGCUGCCGCAGGAUUGGCCAGUGAGAAAUGUUGCGUGAAGGUGAAGCGUCUGGGAAGGCGUACCGGAGUGGGUGAGAGUCCUGUAACUGUAAGCGUGGCACUGGUGUGGGGUUGCCCCGAGUAGCGUGGGACUCGUGGAAUUUCGCGUGAAUCUGGCGGGACCACCCGUCAAGCCUAAAUACUCCUUGGUGACCGAUAGUGGAUGAGUACCGUGAGGGAAGGGUGAAAAGUACCCCGGGAGGGGAGUGAAAGAGUUCCUGAAACCGGUCGCAUGCAAGCCGUCAGAGCCUGUGUGGUGAUGGCGUGCCUUUUGAAGAAUGAGCCUGCGAGUUAGUGAUGCGUGGCGAGGUUAACCCGUGGUGGGGGAGUCGUAGCGAAAGCGAGUCCGAUAAGGGCGUGAGUCGCGUGUUCUAGACCCGAAGCGGUGUGAUCUAUCCAUGGCCAGGAUGAAGCGUCGGUAAGACGUCGUGGAGGUCCGAACCCACUUCAGUUAAAAAUGGAGGGGAUGAGUUGUGGAUAGGGGUGAAAGGCCAAUCAAACACCGUGAUAGCUGGUUCUCCCCGAAAUGCAUUUAGGUGCAGCGUUGCGUGGUUCUUGUUGGAGGUAGAGCACUGGAUGGUCUAGGGGGCUUAUCGGCUUACCGAAAUCAGCCAAACUCCGAAUGCUGGCAAGUGUAGCGUGGCAGUGAGACGGCGGGGGAUAAGCUUCGUCGUCGAGAGGGAAACAGCCCAGAUCAUCAGCUAAGGCCCCUAAGUGGUGACUCAGUGGGAAAGGAUGUGGAGUUGCGUAGACAACCAGGAGGUUGGCUUGGAAGCAGCCAUCCUUGAAAGAGUGCGUAAUAGCUCACUGGUCAAGUGAUUCCGCGCCGAUAAUGUAGCGGGGCUUAAGUUAUCCGCCGAAGCUGUGGCAACCUGUGUGGUUGGGUAGGGGAGCGUCGUGUCAGUGGUGAAGCUGCCGGGUGACUGUGUGGUGGAGUUGAUGCGAGUGAGAAUGCAGGCAUGAGUAGCGUGUGACGGGUGGGAAUCCCGUCCGCCGAUUAUCCAAGGGUUCCAGGGUCAAGUUUGUCUGCCCUGGGUGAGUCGGGUCCUAAGGCGAGGCCGACAGGCGUAGUCGAUGGGUAACCAGUUGAUAUUCUGGUACCGGCUUGUCACCGUCCGUGUCGUGGUGUGUGAUGCUAAGCAUGUGAGCUUGUCUUGGGAGUGUUUUUGAUGCUUCUGGGGUGGGUGAGUGUGUGAACCGAUCAUGUAGUAGGCAAGCUGCGGAGGGACGCAGUGAGGUAGCUCAUCCCCGGUGAUGGUUGUCCGGGGCUAAGUGUGUGGACUGUCUGGUAGGUAAAUCCGCUGGGCGUGAAGGUUGAGGCAUGAUGGGGAGCCCAUGGUUGUGGGUGAGUGAGUGAUCCUGUACUGUCGAGAAAAGCUUCGUGAGCGAGGUGGCGGGUCCGCCCGUACCCUAAACCGACACUGGUGGAUAGGUAGAGUAUACCGAGGCGAUCGAGUGAAUCGUGGUGAAGGAACUCGGCAAAAUGCCCCCGUAACUUUGGGAUAAGGGGGACCUGAGCUGUCGUGCACCCGUGCGGUGUGGUGGCGGUGAGGGGCGCAGAGUCCAGGGGGAAACGACUGUUUACCAAAAACACAGGUCCGUGCGAAGUCGUAAGACGAUGUAUACGGACUGACUCCUGCCCGGUGCUGGAAGGUUAAGGGAAACUGUGAGUGUAUGCGUAGCGGUGAACUUAAGCCCCAGUAAACGGCGGUGGUAACUAUAACCAUCCUAAGGUAGCGAAAUUCCUUGUCGGUUAAGUUCCGACCUGCACGAAUGGCGUAACGAUUUCCCUACUGUCUCCACCAUGAACUCGGUGAAAUUGCAUUACGAGUAAAGAUGCUCGUUACGCGCAGCAGGACGGA